GUCCCUGGAUUAUGAUCUCGCAAAUCACAGUGCAAGCCGAAAGCUGACUCCAGGAUACAAUGCCUCUCCAAAGCCACUGCUGUCCCCUAACAAAAGGAAAUUUGACUCGAGGAAGAAACAAUCUAUCAGCCCUGCCAACAUCUCUGAGGAUGAGACUGGAAUUGAGAGCCAAGGUCAAGAAUCAGACUGUAAUAUAACCCCCCUUCGAGAAAGAAAACUAGAGAGAGCUGUGACAAAGAAAAAUGGGAGCUUCUUUUUGUCCUCUGAUGAAGAUUAACCAAGGAGCAAGAAAAGCAGGAGGUCCACCAGAGAGUCCUCGUCUGAUGAAAGCAUCCAAGAAAAUCAAGAAAGCGUUGACGGAGACUCUGAUGUUUAGCUGAGCUGAGAGUUGGUGCUCUGUGAGCUAAGUAUUGUAGUUAAGUUAAUUUGGCAGUACAUUAUAUUAAAGCAAGUCAGAAUAUGAAAAAUUAGAAUUUAUUAUCUUUGUCAAGCAAGAAAUUUAUAUUUCUCUCCUACAACUUAAAGCUCAAUAACAGUUAUAGUUACACCAAUAAAAAAACAUUUUACAGAAAUUUCGGUGAUAAAUUCACGUUCUUAUGUUGAAAGGUGGAAUGUAACCUAAUUGCAUUAGGGUAUCACCUUGAAAUUUUAACAGCCAACCUAGUUUUUUACCAUGAACAACUUUAAAUUUUCCAAAAAUUCAGAAGUUCAAGGUUACCUUUCUCAAUAAUUGUUUUUCAAAAAUUCAAUAUUGAGACCCUUAGAUUUUUCGGGGUUGAGGGAUGAAAUAAUGUAGCCCUUGAAAUUCUGCACAAGCUCACCAAGUUUCAACAAUGUGCAACAAUAGUUUUGCUUUAAUUUGAAUAAAUUAAAAACCGACUCGAGGCCGCUCGAUCGAGCAUGGCCUUAAGUCGGCGAGUUCGCCGAUCAUUCAUUGAUAAUACUUU
This is a long non-coding RNA of Cloeon dipterum, 947 nucleotides long. RefSeq lists it as uncharacterized. The transcript has 3 exons. The record is from RefSeq and is a predicted model, not a curated record. NCBI's taxonomy places the organism in Eukaryota, Metazoa, Arthropoda, Insecta, Ephemeroptera, Baetidae.